Non-coding RNA from Pelobates cultripes (western spadefoot toad), 713 nucleotides. NCBI's taxonomy places the organism in Eukaryota, Metazoa, Chordata, Amphibia, Anura, Pelobatidae. The record is from the annotation of a GenBank genome assembly.
CCGGGAAUGACAGCCCUGGAUUUCAGAGGCACAGAACACGCAGGGUUGCAAAGAGUAUACCACUUGUUCGAAGGGGGGGUCGUUCAUAACGUUUGAGGAACUACAAACUAGAACCCCUCUGCGACCUUUCGACUUUUUUUUAGAUAUCUUCAACUCAGAGACUAUGCCCAAGUCCCUCAGGUUAAGAAAGCCGCAGCGACACAGAUGACAUUUUUCGAAAGAAUGUACGCAAGGGAAGGUUUCCCGAGCAGUUUGAUUUCGUAUCUGUGCAACAACACAUUAGAAUGGGGAGGAAUUUCAUGCAUAGAUCAAUGGAAGGCGGACCUGGGCGAGACACUGGAGGGCACAGAGUGGCAGGAAAUGUGGGAGGCGGCCGCGCGGUCCUCUCUGUGUGUCUCGUUGCAGGAACAAUCAUAAGACUCUAUUUCAAUGGUAUGCCACACCGGUAAAAUUAUGCCGAAUGAACAAAAUCUCAACUGAUCUAUGCUGGUUGGGAUGCGGCCUGAAGGGAACAUAUAUCCAUAUGUGGUGGGAAUGCCCAGUAGCACAAGUUUAUUGGCAACAAAUUGCACAGCUGAUGCGAGACGUAUUUGAGAAAGAAGUUAAGCUAGACCCAUGGAUAUUCCUACUAGCCAGAUCUAUAGAAAAUUGGCCAAAAACUGAACAAACCCUAUUGCAUAGGGUGAAUUUGGCCACUAGGAGAGCUUUGGCAC